AGAGUUUGGAUCAUGGCUCAGAACGAACGCUGGCGGCGCGCUUAACACAUGCAAGUCGAACGAGAGGCCGUAGCAAUACGGUAGUAAAGUGGCGAACGGGUGAGUAAUGCGUGGGUGACUUACCCUAGAGUGGGGGAUAACUCGCCGAAAGGUGAGCUAAUACCGCGUACGCUUCCAUUCUUGCGAGGGUGGAAGGAAAGCUAUACCGUGGGUAUGGCGCUCAAGGAUGGGCUCACGUCCUAUCAGCUUGUUGGUAGGGUAACGGCCUACCAAGGCUACGACGGGUAGCUGGUCUGAGAGGACGACCAGCCACACUGGCACUGCGACACGGGCCAGACUCCUACGGGAGGCAGCAGUGAGGAAUAUUGCGCAAUGGGCGAAAGCCUGACGCAGCGACGCCGCGUGGGGGAUGAAGGUCUUCGGAUUGUAAACCCCUUUCGGGAGGGAAGAUGGGACGGGUAACCGUUCGGACGGUACCUCCAGAAGCAGCCACGGCUAACUUCGUGCCAGCAGCCGCGGUAAUACGAAGGUGGCAAGCGUUUGUUCGGAUUUACUGGGCGUAAAGGGAGCGUAGGCGGUUUGGUAAGCCCUUCGGGAAAUCUCCCGGCUUAACCGGGAAAGGUCGGAGGGGACUGCCAGGCUAGANGAUGGGAAGAGGAACGCGGAAUUCCCGGUGUAGCGGUGAAAUG
This 689-nucleotide ribosomal RNA is filed under the name uncultured Nitrospirota bacterium. RNAcentral describes it as "bacterial SSU rRNA". It matches the Rfam family "Bacterial small subunit ribosomal RNA", at positions 8 to 688 of the family's 1533-position model. Lineage: Bacteria; Pseudomonadati; Nitrospirota. The record is from RNAcentral.